Molecule: long non-coding RNA, 4827 nt
Organism: Anguilla rostrata (American eel)
Lineage: Eukaryota; Metazoa; Chordata; Actinopteri; Anguilliformes; Anguillidae
Exons: 3
Source: RefSeq, a predicted model, not a curated record
UAGGAGUUCAAACCUGUGCUGUCACUGGUUUAAAUGUAAUGAACACAAAUGUCUUUAUUUGUGCAGAUUACACCAGCAAAUAUUUUCCAGUACACAAAUAUAAAUUGGUGAUAUGUCUGAUAGUUAUGAGGUCAUUAAAAUUGCAGGAUGCCAUUUUAUUAAUACUACACACUAAUUCAUUUAUAUUGGUUGUAGUGGCAUAUUAUAUUGUAGACAAAAAUUGCCAUGAGAUUUUAAUAUUCUCGUACUGGUAUGGGAUGGCCCUUUGAAAUUUUCAAUUUGAUAAUGUGCUUGGUUGUUUAGUGUGAAACCUGAACGAGGUCUGAACACGUGACUGCAUUAGCUGCACAGGCAGAAAAUAGAAGUGCACCAUGCUUCAACAUGAUUGAGUAAAUGGGUAGUUUUAAUUCCCAGCUACUAUAAGACAUCCAGGUCUGUGCUGUUUCGUGUUUAUCGUGCUGUGUUUUUUCAUUGUUUUUACUUUUUAGUUCAAUGUUCGAAAGCCCAUUUAGUUGACAGUUGAUACGUUGAAGCCUGGCCUAUAGUGUAAGCGUAAUCAUUUGGCUUAGGCAAAUCGCAGUAUUAGAAACGUGAAGAAUGAUAAGGGCCGUGUAUACUUUUUUUGUUUUAGGUCUGUCUGUAUUUUUUUAUUUUUUAUUUUUUUUUUUUUUUUAAAUCUCAGAAUCAUUGGGUUCAGAUUUUGAAGUAGCCUAAAGUAUGUUAAUGUGAGAUAACUCAAAGAACUGAAAAGGCGGGAAGUGAAUUCUGAUUUGAAUGCGGGGCUUGUUUUGGGCAUUUGUGUGGUGAUGUCACCGGGCGUGGGUUUAUUUCAAUGAGAAUGGACGUUGACAGAGAGAGAGCCCUUUCCCAGCCCCCGAGAUACCCUGGCACAUGCUCUGCAUGCAAAUAAGCUCCCCGGUAUGACUCUUGCUCAGUAAAACGCUCUGCUCUAUAGACUAAAGGCCCACUUUUCAAACUUCUUAGUACAAAGAGCAGCGGAUGCACACCUUGGAGUUGGAAGUAAUUUAUUCAACAUUUAACAAAUCCUAAAUAUUUGUUAUCCUUUCUCUUCAUUUUUUGACGACAGGUGGAGGGUUCAGUCUGCGGUUCACAUCCUCUGUUAAUUCAAAUGGAGAGGGAGUCGGUUGCUAUCUUUGGUUAUCUAGCUGUAUAAGUGUUAAUCAGCCGUCAUAAAGCUAGAUAACCGAAAGUAGAAAUGACUUCUAAACCUACCUACUUCAAAGCGAACGGAAGAACAGACCAUGGAGAGAAAUGUAAAAAAAAAAAACAUCAUGAAAAUACGGACAGUAAGCAUGCGGUUAUGUGUGCUAUAAAGCAACAGCUAGAGGCUGGACCCAGUAAUUGUCCGAAACCAUUCCUCAUCAGUCCAAACAUAUCAUCUGAAGCCUGAAGUUCCAUUGCAAAGGAUAUGGCAGAACAGGUAAGCCAAUGGGGAGAGCAAAUCCUUCUUACAUACAAAGAGCCAAAGGAAAGACUUUGAAUUUAAAAACCACACCCUACAGGGAUCUGAUCUGCAUACCGCCUAUAUUAUGGGUUUCUGGGGACCAAAAGAAAAAGUAAAUACAAAAUCAAAUUGUUUUCUGAUGCAGCGAUGAAAGUCAGGAACCUGACAAUGCUGCAGUCUUGAUUAGAGAGGCCCUGUGACUGUAUGCCCCCUCCCUCCCAUUCUGCACUGCUUUGCUGCAGUGCCCUGCCUUCCCCAGGUCUAAGAUGAAGAUGCAUAAAGCCUCAUGACUCGUUGCCGUUAGUGGCAGCGUGACCCAGAUCUGAGCUGGUGCUCCCUGUCGAAGGCAGGUUCGCUUGGCUUCUGCACCCCACUGUGUGCAGGAGCACCCGGAAACAGCACAGAGGAGGAGGAGGAAGGUUCAGCAUCUGCCUUAGUCAUUUCUAUGCUGCGCAGAACUUAGCCUGUUUACAAAGAUGUCUCCCCGUUCUGUCUCGUUCACGUUUCUGCUUUGUUUUUGGGCACCCCCCCCCCACCCUAACCUCCCGCCUUCCCCCAAUAUCCAGAACCACAUAACCCCCUGGGUUUCACAGAGGCCUGCUACUGUAUUUAUAAGAAUAUAAUUUGAAUCAACCCUGUAACCACAUCCAAUAUCACAUACAUUAGGAAAACCUGUCUAAUACUAAAUGAAGACUUCAUUUCUAAAAUUAUUUAGUAGUUCUAUGUUAUAUAUGCAUUAUGUUGCAUUACUUUCUUUGUUAUCAUUUUGUGGAAAGCUAAGGGGUCUGGAAAACGGUAUGGCAGAGGGAUUUUUCAGCCAAGACUGACUCUUGCAUUUAUUUUAAAAGCCUUUUCCACUUUAGGAUUGAACACCGGUCACUCGUCUGUGUUGAAAACUCCAAUAACCUGCAUGUGAUGCUGACAAAGCUCAGGAAAUUUGUUGAGCCAUCAUGUUGUUUGUACAGCAGUUAUAGUGAAAAAUAUGUCUGAUAUGAAAUUAAUCUAUUUUCCAAUGUAUUUGAAUUCAAGUUCUGAAGUCAUGGUAUGCCAAUCUUUUAUUCUCUGUAAUAUUUAGAACAGGUCUCAGAACAGGUGAAUUGACUGUGCGCGCAUGUAAUUAAAGGGAACAGAAGGCUUUCAUCAAUCUUAAUACUUUAACACUAGUGAUGAGUGAAAAUAAAACAAGAAAAAUCAAUAACCUUUUUCUUUUUUGCAGCAUUGCAGUGGAGAAAUAAUAUAUAAUAUGCAGAGUCUAUUAUAAUUAAAAUAUUAUUAUUAUAAUUAUUAUCCUUUACAUUUGCAAUUAUAAAUGAGAAUUUUUGUAAGAAUUGAAAAUAUAAAACAUAGUGAAUUAUAUCAAAUGUAGAAAAAUUAAUAUACUAGUUUAAAUUCUGUACUAUACUGUACUAUCCACUCCUUUGAGUCAAAAAGCAGUUAUUCUUUGUCAGCAUGAAUUGCAAAAAUGGCAACUUUGCCCAGCCAGUAAGAGCAGCAUAAGGACAAUGCUUCUAACAACGAAUCAGGCUUGUGGAGCAGUUGUUUCCUUGUUAUAUUUACCUUCUUCUAACACACUGCAUAGCUUAGGCACACAGAUAAUACGCACUUGUUUUGUAAUUGCAAUGUAUACAACUCAAGUGGAUGCACACCCACACAAGGUACCAGUCUGCACCUGUCUAUGUGCAAAGUACAAAGCCACAUAUGUGCUAUUGCUAGACUGAAAUCACCAAAGCCUGUUCUAAUAUCACACAAUCCAUUAAGAUUACAAUCAAAAGCUUUAUCCUGCAAACAACCGUGGGACUAGUAGCUCACAGUGCAGUAACUUCUUGGAGAAUACAAAGGAAUUACAGUUAUUCCAUCCCUGUGUUGUUUUCUUCUAAAGAAACAGAUUAUACAGUAGUUGCCAUGGCAUCGGCUUGGCAGUAAUAAAAGGGGACUGUUUUUAGAGCUUUAUUUUCUUGUUUCCCCACAGCGACUGGCCGUUAUUCCUACCGUGCCUUGAUGGGAGGAGGGGAGGGGUGGGGGGGGGGGGAAAUGGCGCAGUCGUCAAAAAGAAAGGAGGAAAAAGAAUGGCCAACCCCUAUUCCCCUUUCCCUCCCCCCUCACCCACCCCUGGGAGCCUUUAGUGCCAUCUGUGCCCCCUGAGAAACCAGAAAAAGCAAGACACUUCCACCCAGUGCCAACGGGGACAAAGAGGCUGCCAGUCGCCGGGGCCUCCGCCCCUGCCAGAUGCCAGAGAACUGUACGACAGCGCGUGUGUGUGCGCUGAGGAAGCCAUCUUGAUGGGAAAUCUUGCUUGCUGCUCCUAAAAUGGCUGUGUUGGCACGAGGUCUUGGAAUGGCGGUGAAGAUGUCAGCGUCCUCCAGGGGAGUGAGGAGCCAUCCCCUGACGCAGGCCAUCCUGUGCCACCUCAGGAAAAUGUGUGCCAACAUGAAUAUCAUUACCACCAAGCAGCAGAGGGCACGUGUGAAUUGGCUGUGGUGAUUUGUUGUUUUGCCGGCAAGAAGCAUCUUCCAACGUGGACUUGGAGAACCCCAAUGGACAGUGUUUUGAAUCACAAGAGUGGAAAAUCCACCGUGUGAAAUGACAUACUUCUAAAGUUCUGACCAUCUUCACCAGCUCCAUGGAUCCAGGGGGGCAGAAAUUGUUUGAAAUAUAUGUUGCACAAAGUUUAAUUCUAUCUGUGUCUUGUUUUAGAAGACAUGCAAAGUCUCUAAUGUGAAAAUGUUAUGAAGCCAGUGCAGCCUUAAUGGCAACCACAAAGAAAUAUUGGGGUGGAGGAAUGUGUUACUGCUACAUUUACAUUUGUGUGUUUAACUUUCAUUUGUUUUUUAUUGCUAAAUGCAUCAUUAUAUUUAUGUCCAAUGGAAAUAGACGGUUUGAAAGAUCUGUCAGCAGCAUUUGCACAUAGUAAAACUUGAAUUAUUUUUGUGUUUAUUGCAGUAUAUAUAACCUUUGGGUGUAAACACAAAUGUGUUAGCAAUGUGUCAUCUGUCUUGGAUCUCAAUGAUUAGCACACCUGUCUGUUUAAGCUAAAUAUGCAACAUAAAUCAAGCAGGCAGCUUGCAUGUAUGUAUGAGGAAUGCUUUGUUAAAUGCACUAUAUUGAAAAAAUGGGGUGUUUGUGGAUAUAUGAGGAGAUGAUAUGAAAGCACAUGACACGUGCUUCUGCAUUUGGUUUCGUUUGUUCUGAGGAUCCUCACAUGCUUUGUGGUGGUCAGUGAAGGACCGGAACAAGGAACAAAAAGUGCCUUAAUGUGUGAGGUGUUUACACUGAAACUUGUAACUUUGAUAUCUUUGAUAGAAUUCUGUUUGCUUCUGAAAAUUGAGCUGGCUGCUUUCUACAAAUAAAUAUGUGCAAUUCUU